UGCUGCUCCGCCCAGGGAGGUAGGAGGCGGUGGGCUCACUGGUCAGUCAAUUUUCAGCUGACACCACGCCUUGAGGCCCAUGGGAUCUUUCUGUGCCCCAGCGAGGACUUCGCCGCCUUACUAGAUUGUAAGCCCAUCCUUGUUCACCCGGUGGGAUCCAAAAUCGGAUCCGAAGGAGGAGUCCGAAGAUCCCAGCCGGAGCCUGAAGCUCCUCCUCCACCAGGCAUGGAACCAGAAGACAGCUAAAGGCCGUCUUGAAGACAGGAUUUCUAGGGUUCCGGCCCUGGGUCGCACACAGCCCCUUCUCCCACACCUCUCCUUACCCGCCCCCCUCUUCUGCCACCGCUGCUGCAGCCCCUGCCGCCAACACUGUUUUUUAAAGGGGCCACAGCCUGAUUCCUAGGAGCCGAGAACGAGUCGGCCUAACCAAUGCGCAUGCGUGAGGCGAGCGGAUCUCGCGUCACAGUGACCCCCACCAUCGCCCGGAGGAUGGGUCCCUGAGGCUAGGCCAAGCAGGAGCCCUGCGUGGCAGUGCGUGGGUGUCGAGGCUCCGGCCUUACCUCUCCAGGGGAUCCACAGGAUGGUCUCCGGAAGCCAGGAGUUGCGGAGGGCCGACUGGGAUGAAGAAACCUUAGGCAGAGGAGUCCCGGGGAAGCAGCGCGCCAUCCCAGCCUCAGGCCUGUUCGGAAGGUGUGGGGCUCUCCUUUCCUUUCCACCAUGAUUGGAAGUUCCCUGAGGCUCUCACCAGAAGCAGAUGCUAGCGCCACGAUUUUUGUACAGCCUGCGGAACUAUAAGUCAAAUAAACCUCUCUUUGUUAUAAAUUA
This is a long non-coding RNA of Symphalangus syndactylus (siamang), 825 nucleotides long. RefSeq lists it as uncharacterized. NCBI's taxonomy places the organism in Eukaryota, Metazoa, Chordata, Mammalia, Primates, Hylobatidae. The record is from RefSeq and is a predicted model, not a curated record.